This 1099-nucleotide ribosomal RNA is filed under the name Escherichia coli. Its description in RNAcentral is "partial 23S ribosomal RNA". It matches the Rfam family "Bacterial large subunit ribosomal RNA", at positions 447 to 1551 of the family's 2925-position model. Lineage: Bacteria; Pseudomonadati; Pseudomonadota; Gammaproteobacteria; Enterobacterales; Enterobacteriaceae. The record is from RNAcentral.
GGGGGACCAUCCUCCAAGGCUAAAUACUCCUGACUGACCGAUAGUGAACCAGUACCGUGAGGGAAAGGCGAAAAGAACCCCGGCGAGGGGAGUGAAAAAGAACCUGAAACCGUGUACGUACAAGCAGUGGGAGCCUCUUAAUGGGGUGACUGCGUACCUUUUGUAUAAUGGGUCAGCGACUUAUAUUCUGUAGCAAGGUUAACCGAAUAGGGGAGCCGAAGGGAAACCGAGUCUUAACUGGGCGUUAAGUUGCAGGGUAUAGACCCGAAACCCGGUGAUCUAGCCAUGGGCAGGUUGAAGGUUGGGUAACACUAACUGGAGGACCGAACCGACUAAUGUUGAAAAAUUAGCGGAUGACUUGUGGCUGGGGGUGAAAGGCCAAUCAAACCGGGAGAUAGCUGGUUCUCCCCGAAAGCUAUUUAGGUAGCGCCUCGUGAAUUCAUCUCCGGGGGUAGAGCACUGUUUCGGCAAGGGGGUCAUCCCGACUUACCAACCCGAUGCAAACUGCGAAUACCGGAGAAUGUUAUCACGGGAGACACACGGCGGGUGCUAACGUCCGUCGUGAAGAGGGAAACAACCCAGACCGCCAGCUAAGGUCCCAAAGUCAUGGUUAAGUGGGAAACGAUGUGGGAAGGCCCAGACAGCCAGGAUGUUGGCUUAGAAGCAGCCAUCAUUUAAAGAAAGCGUAAUAGCUCACUGGUCGAGUCGGCCUGCGCGGAAGAUGUAACGGGGCUAAACCAUGCACCGAAGCUGCGGCAGCGACACUAUGUGUUGUUGGGUAGGGGAGCGUUCUGUAAGCCUGUGAAGGUGGCCUGUGAGGGUUGCUGGAGGUAUCAGAAGUGCGAAUGCUGACAUAAGUAACGAUAAAGCGGGUGAAAAGCCCGCUCGCCGGAAGACCAAGGGUUCCUGUCCAACGUUAAUCGGGGCAGGGUGAGUCGACCCCUAAGGCGAGGCCGAAAGGCGUAGUCGAUGGGAAACAGGUUAAUAUUCCUGUACUUGGUGUUACUGCGAAGGGGGGACGGAGAAGGCUAUGUUGGCCGGGCGACGGUUGUCCCGGUUUAAGCGUGUAGGCUGGUUUUCCAGGCAAAUCCGGAAAACC